CAUCCGCUCGUCGUGGUCGCUUCGAUGGAAAUCCAACGAUGGAGCAGCGUUAAACGAUCUCUCCGUUGUUUCUCCAGCUCGAGCGCACGCCCGAGUCGUGACGCCGUCAGCAUCAAACGGAGCAGCGCCCACAACCGUCCCCGUCACGAGCGCCUUCCUCCCGUUCGCCAAGGACAAGGCCGUGGCGGAGGGCGCCGUCGCCGCGGCGCUGCCGGAGCUCGCCCUCGCGCCAGCGGAGAAAGACGCGGUCACCUCCGCCAUCGAGGUUGACUGGAAGCCGUACCUUGACGCCGAAAGCAACAACGGUGUGCUAGGCUCGCAGAGAGGCGUCCAGAACGGGGUGAAGCCAGCCUCGACCGCGUCGGAAGGGCAGGCUGCGCCGUUCCCGCCGCAGACCAACCGGAAGGCUCGGCGGUGCUGGUCGCGGGAGCUGCAAUGCCCUCCAAAUCCUCAGCGGUGCCCAAGUGGCGACCCUGAAGCAGAUCCGUGACCUGAUGAAGGUCAAUGGAUUGACAAAUGAUGAGGUGAAAAGCCAUCUCCAGGAUUUGUUAGUUAAGCACAAAAGGGCUAAAUUAUUAGGGUCCAUUGUCCAGCCAUAACGGGGAAUUGAAGUCUCUGACAUGGAGAGCAAAGUGCCUGAUGUUCUUUGGCUCGAAGUUUCUACUGGCAAGGAUCCCAUGGAUGGUCUCAGUGAUUGUGCGCGCAGAUCUCUGGUGAAGCAAAUGGUUGCAGUAAGGGACAUGUCCAGCAUGUUACUCGAAUUGUUGGCAAUGGAACAAGUUGAAUCAAAUUAGGCCUUGCCAUUGCCAUUGCCUAGUUGUUUGUAAUGGGUAAGAAGAUAAACAAAUUCCUCUUCAAGCCUUGCCAUUGCCAUUGCCUAUUGGGAUUGCUACCAGUGGAGCGUCAAAGUGGUGUGAAAGCUUGAGUGAACCAAUACAGAUUCUGUAAUGCAAUGUAAUUUUGUAAUGCAAUGAGUGGAGAAAAGUUUCAUGUUUGUGAAUAAAAGAUUCUAUAAUGCAAUGUAAUUCUGUAAUGUAAUGUACAGAUUCUAUAUGUAAUGUACAGAUACUAUUCAUAUUUGUGAAUAGAAGA
Phragmites australis (common reed) is the source of this 1092-nucleotide long non-coding RNA. RefSeq lists it as uncharacterized. Lineage: Eukaryota; Viridiplantae; Streptophyta; Magnoliopsida; Poales; Poaceae. The record is from RefSeq and is a predicted model, not a curated record. The transcript is spliced from 3 exons.